This is an RNA transcript of Bombyx mori (domestic silkworm), 2972 nucleotides long. It is a transcript of the gene named synaptic vesicular amine transporter, with no coding region annotated. The record is from RefSeq and is a predicted model, not a curated record. NCBI's taxonomy places the organism in Eukaryota, Metazoa, Arthropoda, Insecta, Lepidoptera, Bombycidae. The transcript is spliced from 9 exons.
CUCCACACGGAGCUGCAGGAUCUCCUGCUCUUGCCGCUCUUGCGUUGACCGCACGCAGUCUCUCGACCUCUUCGGUUGCGGUGCGGCUCACGAGGUCUUCCGUGGCCGCCCUGACGGUGGCUGCCAACCCCUUCAGGACACGCAUAUAUGUGACAUCCAGAAGUUCCUGAAUAAAUAAUGAGAGUUCUUUCCUUCUUCCGUCGCGUCGACCGCUGGAGCGGUUAUCUUAGUUUAUUUUUAUUACUUCUCACAAUCUUGCAUUGUUGUAAUGCGUUAAAGAGUUACGAAGAUUAUAAAAAAAACCUUACUUUUUGAUAAUAGUCGUAAAUGUUGAGUAUUAUGAUAAAUCGUUGUGGAAAUCCCACAACCUGUUAUCGGUGCACUUCUAAAAAUUUACAAUGUUAAAAUUUCAAUAAAAUUUCUUAUCUUCUAGUUAAACAUCAAACGUUUUAUAGUUAUCUGAUUAUUUCUAGUGUUAUUGAUUAGGUACCUAUUUAAUUUUUAUAUGUCGGCGCAACGUUACUGUUAACUAAGAUUAGUUAAAAUGUUUAACUGUUUCCUUAAUGUUACCCAUGCAAACAAUUGGAUAAGACGGUAUUCAGGAGAAUACAUGACUAAGUUACCCCCACCCACAUACGAGUGACUAUUGUCAGCGUCGGGCGCGGUAGCCGUUGUACUUACUGUAAAAAGUGAGACCUUACAACUCAUGUCUCAAGGUAGAUGGCAGCAUUUAUGUUGUAGAUGUCUAUGGGCUCCGGUAACCACUUAACACCGGGUGGGCUGUGAGCUCCUCCAUCUAUCUAAGCAAUAAAAAAAAAAAAAUUAUUGAUGCAUCUCUGCCAGCACGGUGGUAAUUUUUCAAUUCCCUUCUUGAAAAAGUCAGGUCUACGAGAGCUACAAACUUUUCACAAGAAUUUUGUACCGUCUCCCGGGUGUUACAUUUCUUCCCCACCAAGAAACUGUCCAGUCUUUGGAAAAACUAAUCGAAUGUCGGCGUAAAACCUGGUCGGUGCGGUGGAUGACGCAAAACUUCCAAUCCUAGCUGUGUAGUGCCGCGUGAAGUCGUGUCGUGUAGGAGCAGCGGAGACCAGCGAUUAACGAAGGGUGGCUGGAGGUUCACGAGUGCUCCACUGUGUCCUCGACGCAGCUACGGCUUUAUACGUGUAAAACAAAUUUAGGUCUGGAUCUAAUGACAAGACCACCAUCGUCGAUGGUCGAUGGCUGGGAUCUUCAUGAGAACCUUACUCUGAAUAAAACUGAAACAAUAAAACUGUAGCAAUCAAUAUCUCCCAGAUACAUUCUUAGCGAGUAAUCCUUUAGAUGCAUUCAGCAGAAAAUUGCGUUAGGGUCGUUCCACACGCAUCGACGCGCGCUGAUUGAAAAUGUAUUGGCGCGUGGCUUAUCAGGCCGGGGCACUCCGCGGCGGCGAGCACGGCCCCACUCCGCGCCGAGCUCCCGCCAGACUCCACACGCACUCACUCACUCCUCUGGAAUCCAAUAGAGUCUCUUGUAAGAUGUCAGAAGGCGUAUCGAAGGAUGCCUUUGUAGCCUUCUCUUUGAUUUAUUUUACGUUCUUCUUGGACAAUGUUUUGUUAACCGUGCUGGUGCCCAUAGUCCCGGACUGGAUCCGCGGCGAGUCCUUGGAGCUGUGGGCCCGCCGGGAGGCGCCGCUCGCCGCCAUCCUCAACACUACCAUGCGCCACAUGCAGCGAGACAACUACCAAGGUGUCGGCAGCUCUCAAGCAGCCGUAGGACUAGUUCUGGGAGCAAAGGCGACGGCCCAGCUGGUGACGGCUCCGUUCGCCGCCGCCGCCGUCGGCAAGUACGGGCCCGCCAGGGUGCUGCGGGCGGCCACCGCGCUGCUGGCGGCUGCUGCCCUCGUGUUCGCGUGCUGCGGGGUGGUGGGGUCGGGGUGGGCGGCGGGCGCGUGCGCGUGGUGCGGGCGCGCGGUGCACGGCGGGGGCGCGGGGCUGGCCGCCGUGGCUGGCCUCACGUUGGGGGCGGCGCUGCGCCCCGCGCGCAUCCCGGCGCUGCUUGGCGCGGUCGCCCUCGGGGUGCUCGUGGGGUAUCCGUUCGGGGGCGCGACCAACGCCCUCUGGAGCAGGGAGGCGCCAUUCCUGAUACUCACGGCCGCUCUGCUCGCUAAUUUUGCAAUGGCAGGCGGGGCUGGUGUUCGUGCCGGACAGCACGGGGUACCUGGUGUGCAGCGUGUGCGCGGGGCAGUGGGGCCGCCCCGGCCGGACCGCCGCGCUGGGCCAGCUCACCGUGGCGCUCGCCGCACUGGCCCUGCCACAUGCCUCCUCGGUGUGGGGGCUGGUGCUGCCGCAGACGGGUCUGGGCGCGGGGCUGGGCUGCACCGACGCGGCGUUGUUCCCGGCGCUGCUGGGCCGCGCGCACGCGCACCGCCCCGCCGCCGCGCUGCAGGCCGCCUCCAGCGCCGCCUACACGCUCGGUCCCAUCGUGGGCGGCGCGAUGUCGUGGCUGGUCGGGUUCGAGACGACGCUCCGCACUCUCGGGGUGCUGAACAUGCUGUACGCCUGGCACCUGUACCGCGUGCUCGGAGACUACCCUUCUUCAGAGGUUUCAACCAUCCAUAACACUUACAUACACAAGUACACAAGAUGUUAAAGACACACUAGAUGUAUUGACUGAUUGUCGUCUCAACCCCUGCGGCAAGACAGAAGUUACCCAUUGUCUAAGAGCGUUAGCAGACUCAGCGUUCAGUCGGGCCUUAUAGAAGCCACUGGAUUCUGUUGUGUAGGAGCAGUCCUCCAUUCAAGAGAACGAAAGACCACUCCACGAGAGAAACAAGUAGGGAAGUGUGGGGAGACGAGUCUGAAGCAGACAGUGGCGAAGCGCGCCAGGGUGAAGUGACUCCACUGAAAGACGACCUCUACGCACCUCUGCACUAAAUGUCUUUAAUUCAGUCAAUAAUGUGAACCAAUUAGUUAAUAAAUAUGCUUCACUGAGAA